CUUCCGAACCUUGUGGUGGUCUCAGAUUUUUCACAACACCAACAAAAAGAUGGUUUAGUUACGGACAGCCUCUUAAGUCGCCGGAAAAUUGCAUGGCGACGAGGUCUUUCUUCCCGGAAGUUGCUGGAAUGACGCACAGCUAUAAUAUUCUCACUGUAGCUCUGAUACCAGCACGGCGACGAGGUCUUUCUUCCCGGAAGUUGCUGGAUUGACGCACAACUAUUAUAUUCUCACUGUAGCUCUGAUACCAUGUGAGAAAGCACGGGAGAAAAAUAUAUUUGAUAUUAAACAUGAUACAAUGAGCCCUGUAUAUAUAUACACAUAACCUAUCAUACUCCUAAUACACAUUGGAUUAGGGUUCUACUAUUUACAUAUUCUAA
RNAcentral lists this long non-coding RNA (380 nucleotides) under Nicotiana benthamiana. RNAcentral's name for it is "long non-coding RNA (NBEN_LNC041131)". Lineage: Eukaryota; Viridiplantae; Streptophyta; Magnoliopsida; Solanales; Solanaceae. The record is from RNAcentral.